GGAAGAAACAAAAGAAGACAUCAAUUGAAGAUGAUUACGUGAAUGUUGAUGACACAUACACAGCUCUUAAUCUGAGGAGCAAGACCUCAGAUGAUGUGUAUGGAGAUCUAACAACUGAGAGCAGUCCUCCUUGUGCUAGGGCACAUGUGUAGAUCUUCAGAGCAAC
Molecule: long non-coding RNA, 166 nt
Organism: Pygocentrus nattereri (red-bellied piranha)
Lineage: Eukaryota; Metazoa; Chordata; Actinopteri; Characiformes; Serrasalmidae
Exons: 3
Source: RefSeq, a predicted model, not a curated record